GCAUGGCUGAAUACUGUGUUCUUUUGAUCAGUAGUUUACACAGCCAGACACCAUGCAAAAGUAAAGUUUUCCCUAAUGCAGUGACUUUGGUAUGCUAAGAUUUGUGUGGCAUCCUCAACUGUUAGAAGUAGAUACAAAU
This 139-nucleotide small nucleolar RNA is filed under the name Erinaceus europaeus (western European hedgehog). RNAcentral's name for it is "Small nucleolar RNA SNORA15 (ENSEEUG00000016633.1)". It matches the Rfam family "Small nucleolar RNA SNORA15". From Rfam's summary of the family: ACA15 is a member of the H/ACA class of snoRNA that guide the sites of modification of uridines to pseudouridines. The record is from RNAcentral. Lineage: Eukaryota; Metazoa; Chordata; Mammalia; Eulipotyphla; Erinaceidae.